Molecule: unclassified non-coding RNA, 207 nt
Filed under: soil metagenome
Description: partial contains 5.8S ribosomal RNA, internal transcribed spacer 2, and large subunit ribosomal RNA
Source: RNAcentral
AACGCACGAGACCUGCGGACCUGCGGAAGGAUCAUUACCGAGUCUCCGACUCCCAAACCACUGUGAACCUACCUCUUUAGCGCUCCGCCGGGCCGGCCCCGGGGGGUCGGUUGCCGCUAGGCGCCCGGCGGAGCUCUGGAAAACCUCUCUCAGCGAGCUUCUGAGUCUUGUCUCUAAAAGAGUCACAACUUUCAACAAUGGAUCUCU